UACGUAGGGGGCCAGCGUUGUCCGAAGUUACUGGGCGUAAAGCGCACGCAGGCGGUUCGCCAAGUUUGGAGUGACAGUUGUCGGCUCAACCGACAAAGGACUUCAAAAACUGGUGAACUUGAGGACGAGAGAGGAACAUGGAACUCCAGGUGUAGUAGUGAAAUGCGUAGAUAUCUGGAAGAACACCAAUGGCGAAGGCAAUGUUCUGGCUCGUUUCUGACGCUCAGGUGCGAAAGCCAGGGGAGCGAACGGG
RNAcentral lists this ribosomal RNA (253 nucleotides) under uncultured bacterium. RNAcentral's name for it is "partial 16S ribosomal RNA". It matches the Rfam family "Bacterial small subunit ribosomal RNA", at positions 524 to 776 of the family's 1533-position model. The record is from RNAcentral.